GUUUUUGAACGCAUAUUGCGCUCUUUGGUAUUCCGAAGAGCAUACUUGUUUCAGUAUCAUA
RNAcentral lists this ribosomal RNA (61 nucleotides) under salal associated fungal isolate UBCtra1255C. Its description in RNAcentral is "partial 5.8S ribosomal RNA". It matches the Rfam family "5.8S ribosomal RNA", at positions 96 to 154 of the family's 154-position model. From Rfam's summary of the family: 5.8S ribosomal RNA (5.8S rRNA) is a component of the large subunit of the eukaryotic ribosome. It is transcribed by RNA polymerase I as part of the 45S precursor that also contains 18S and 28S rRNA. Functionally, it is thought that 5.8S rRNA may be involved in ribosome translocation. The record is from RNAcentral. Lineage: Eukaryota; Fungi; Basidiomycota.